RNAcentral lists this ribosomal RNA (1492 nucleotides) under metagenome. Its description in RNAcentral is "bacterial SSU rRNA". It matches the Rfam family "Bacterial small subunit ribosomal RNA". The record is from RNAcentral.
AGAGUUUGAUCAUGGCUCAGAUUGAACGCUGGCGGCAUGCCUUACACAUGCAAGUCGAACGGUAACGCGGGGGCAACCCUGGCGACGAGUGGCGAACGGGUGAGUAAUACAUCGGAACAUAUCCAGUAGCGGGGGAUAACCUAUCGAAAGAUGGACUAAUACCGCAUACGAUCUACGGAUGAAAGCAGGGGACCGCAAGGCCUUGCACUAUUGGAGUGGCCGAUGUCGGAUUAGCUAGUUGGUGAGGUAAAGGCUUACCAAGGCGACGAUCCGUAGCUGGUCUGAGAGGACGAUCAGCCACACUGGAACUGAGACACGGUCCAGACUCCUACGGGAGGCAGCAGUGGGGAAUUUUGGACAAUGGGCGCAAGCCUGAUCCAGCCAUGCCGCGUGAGUGAAGAAGGCCUUCGGGUUGUAAAGCUCUUUCGGUGAAGACGAAACGGUUAGCGCUAAUAACGCUGACUAAUGACGGUACUCACAGAAGAAGCACCGGCUAACUACGUGCCAGCAGCCGCGGUAAUACGUAGGGUGCAGGCGUUAAUCGGAAUUACUGGGCGUAAAGCGUGCGCAGGCGGUUUGCUAAGACAGGUGUGAAAUCCCCGAGCUUAACUUGGGAAUUGCGCUUGUAACUGGCAAGCUAGAGUGUGGCAGAGGGGGGUGGAAUUCCACGUGUAGCAGUGAAAUGCGUAGAUAUGUGGAGGAACACCGAUGGCGAAGGCAGCCCCCUGGGUUAACACUGACGCUCAUGCACGAAAGCGUGGGGAGCAAACAGGAUUAGAUACCCUGGUAGUCCACGCCCUAAACUAUGUCAACUAGUUGUCGGGGAAGAAAUUCCUUGGUAACGAAGCUAACGCGUGAAGUUGACCGCCUGGGGAGUACGGCCGCAAGGUUAAAACUCAAAGGAAUUGACGGGGACCCGCACAAGCGGUGGAUUAUGUGGAUUAAUUCGAUGCAACGCGAAAAACCUUACCUACCCUUGACAUGCUAGGAAGCCCGCAGAGAUGUGGGUGUGCCCGAAAGGGAACCUAGACACAGGUGCUGCAUGGCUGUCGUCAGCUCGUGUCGUGAGAUGUUGGGUUAAGUCCCGCAACGAGCGCAACCCUUGCCAUUAGUUGCUACAUUUAGUUGGGCACUCUAAUGGGACCGCCGGUGACAAACCGGAGGAAGGUGGGGAUGACGUCAAGUCCUCAUGGCCCUUAUGGGUAGGGCUUCACACGUAAUACAAUGGUCGGUACAGAGGGCUGCCAACCCGCAAGGGGGAGCUAAUCCCAGAAAGCCGAUCGUAGUCCGGAUUGUAGUCUGCAACUCGACUGCAUGAAGCCGGAUCGCUAGUAAUCGCGGAUCAGCAUGCCGCGGUGAAUACGUUCCCGGGUCUUGUACACACCGCCCGUCACACCAUGGGAGUGGGUUCCACCAGAAGUAGUUAGCCUAACCGCAAGGAGGGCGAUUACCACGGUGAGAUUCAUGACUGGGGUGAAGUCGUAACAAGGUA